This 671-nucleotide ribosomal RNA is filed under the name uncultured Bacilli bacterium. Its description in RNAcentral is "bacterial SSU rRNA". It matches the Rfam family "Bacterial small subunit ribosomal RNA", at positions 67 to 724 of the family's 1533-position model. The record is from RNAcentral. Lineage: Bacteria; Bacillati; Bacillota; Bacilli.
UGAAGAGAGGAGCUUGCUCUUCUUGGAUGAGUUGCGAACGGGUGAGUAACGCGUAGGUAACCUGCCUUGUAGCGGGGGAUAACUAUUGGAAACGAUAGCUAAUACCGCAUAACAAUGAAUGACUCAUGUCAUUUAUUUGAAAGGGGCAAUUGCUCCACUACAAGAUGGACCUGCGUUGUAUUAGCUAGUAGGUGAGGUAACGGCUCACCUAGGCGACGAUACAUAGCCGACCUGAGAGGGUGAUCGGCCACACUGGGACUGAGACACGGCCCAGACUCCUACGGGAGGCAGCAGUAGGGAAUCUUCGGCAAUGGGGGCAACCCUGACCGAGCAACGCCGCGUGAGUGAAGAAGGUUUUCGGAUCGUAAAGCUCUGUUGUAAGUCAAGAACGAGUGUGAGAGUGGAAAGUUCACACUGUGACGGUAGCUUACCAGAAAGGGACGGCUAACUACGUGCCAGCAGCCGCGGUAAUACGUAGGUCCCGAGCGUUGUCCGGAUUUAUUGGGCGUAAAGCGAGCGCAGGCGGUUUGAUAAGUCUGAAGUUAAAGGCUGUGGCUCAACCAUAGUUCGCUUUGGAAACUGUCAAACUUGAGUGCAGAAGGGGAGAGUGGAAUUCCAUGUGUAGCGGUGAAAUGCGUAGAUAUAUGGAGGAACACCGGUGGCGAAAGCGG